AAGUCGUAACAAGGUUUCCGUAGGUGAACCUGCGGAAGGAUCAUUACCGAGUUCAUGCCCUUCGGGGUAGACCUCCCACCCUUUGUGUAUUUAUACCAUGUUGCUUUGGCGGGCCGCCUUAGGGCGCCCGGCUUCGGCUGGGACCGAGCCCGCCAGAGGACCCAAACCCUGAAAUUAGUGUCGUCCGAGUACUAUAUAAUAGUUAAAA
This 208-nucleotide unclassified non-coding RNA is filed under the name plant metagenome. RNAcentral describes it as "partial contains small subunit ribosomal RNA and internal transcribed spacer 1". The stretch from base 1 to 46 matches the Rfam family "Eukaryotic small subunit ribosomal RNA", at positions 1786 to 1831 of the family's 1831-position model. The record is from RNAcentral.